RNAcentral lists this ribosomal RNA (497 nucleotides) under uncultured bacterium. RNAcentral describes it as "partial 16S ribosomal RNA". It matches the Rfam family "Bacterial small subunit ribosomal RNA", at positions 28 to 507 of the family's 1533-position model. The record is from RNAcentral.
GAUGAACGCUGGCGGCGUGCCUAAUACAUGCAAGUCGAGCGAACGGACGAGAAGCUUGCUUUUCUGAUGUUAGCGGCGGACGGGUGAGUAACACGUGGAUAACCUACCUAUAAGACUGGGAUAACUUCGGGAAACCGGAGCUAAUACCGGAUAAUAUUUGGAACCGCAUGGUUCAAAAGUGAAAGACGGUCUUGCUGUCACCUAUCGAUGGAUCCGCGCUGCAUUAGCUAGUUGGUAAGGUAACGGCUUACCAAGGCAACGAUGCAUAGCCGACCUGAGAGGGUGAUCGGCCACACUGGAUCUGAGACACGGUCCAGACUCCUACGGGAGGCAGCAGUAGGGGAUCUUCCGCAGUGGGCGAAAUCCUGCCGGAGCAGCGCCGCGUGAGUGGUGAAGGUCUGCGGAUCGUAAAACUCUGUUAUUAGUGAAGAACAUUUGUGUAAGUCAAUGUGCACAUCUUGACGGUACCUAAUCAGAAAGCCACGGCUAACUACGUG